Oryzias latipes (Japanese medaka) is the source of this 5964-nucleotide long non-coding RNA. RefSeq lists it as uncharacterized. Lineage: Eukaryota; Metazoa; Chordata; Actinopteri; Beloniformes; Adrianichthyidae. The record is from RefSeq and is a predicted model, not a curated record.
CAACAAGUAAUUGGUGGUGCGUUCUGUAAAGAAAGCGUGGAAAGAAGCAGAUUUUUCAUAUUAGUUUGUUUUAUUUGAUCCUUUUUUUGGCUCAAAAUUGAUUCUAAACAUUUUUAGUUGUUAUUGUAGUUUGAUGAAUUGCACUCAUGUGAGGGGAAAAAACAGCAAAAAAGGCAGUUUGGAGGUAAAUUAAAUAAAUGCAGAUUUUUUUAAAAUAAUAAACAAAUCAAAUUGUAAUGUUUAACAUAUUAGUUUAUGAGCAGUAAUAACAAUGCAGUAACAUGUUAUAGCAUUUGGCACUAACAUAACCUCAGCUGGGCACAACACCACACACACUCCCUAAAGUUCUACUGCAUAGACAUUUAUUUUCAAUGGGCGUUGUUGAAAGUUGUGUUGUUAUUUAUGCAUUUUUGUUCAAUUGUUUAUUGGUUAAUAUCAUUCGUUUCAUAUCACAUAUCUUAGACUUCAAAUUUGUAAUUAUUUUAUGAAAUGCAAGUAGUUUUAAUGCAUCCAAUCAUAUUUUGCAGGUUUAGCUUUCAUUGUUUUUUUUUUGUUUUUGUUUUUUUACUCCCCCAUUAUGUCAGAUGUUGCACUUGCUCGCCAGUUAAAACUGAUUUAUGGUCUCGAUGAGCAGCAGCUGAGGUAAAAGCUGUGGGUUCCUAUUUCCACACGCAAUGUGGCGUUAAAAAGAUAAAGUGUCUGCGGUUCAGCAACUGUUGCCACUUCAUUAUAUUUCCAACAUGUGUUUUUUGUCAACUUUAUAAAUCAGAAGAACAUUUUCACUUUAAAUGUAAUAAAUAAAUAAAUAAAUAAAUAAAUAAAUAAAUAAAUAAAUAAAUAAAUAAAUAAAUAAAAUGUUUGGAGAUGCCGUUAAAAAUAUAAACCACCUCGUUCAGCUCCAAAGAUUCUCUCUGGAAGCACAUAAAACUCCCAUGCGCAGCGGGUGCGUCGUUUAUGAAUUUCCAGAAAGUCUAAGGAGAUAAAACCCAUUUGGAACUAAUCAAUACCCCCAACAAAUCAUCAAUAAAAAUGCUCAUUUCCAUAAUGAAGUCUGGCUUUUGUUAUUCGUCUGCCUCCUCCUCGAUGCUGGUCAUUUUCCCACAUUCAUCAUGCUCUGAGGCAGACUUCAGUUUUGAAAGAAUGAGUCGGUUUUGCUCCACUCAUAGCUUCCAUAUCAUCCACGGGUGGAGGGUGCCACAGACACGAGAAGGGGGCGUCUUCAACAUCCCCGUGUGUGUAAAACAAAGCCGCUUUUGUAAUAAACUGGCUUAUUUCCCCCCAAAAAAGAAGUCAAGAGGGCAGCAUAUGUGGUCUUAAUGGGUUAUAGGUCAAACGGCCAUGAAACGCAAGGUCACGGAAGCCACGCAAGUCACCUUCCAGCGUGUCAACAUAUUGAUACUGUCAGAUAACGGGGAGGAGAAUGGUGCCUUCUGCGUCCAUGAUAAUGCGCAAGCAGAGCGCCCUUAUGUGAUCAAGAUGGUUGCUUUUAUUGAUGGAUUCCCAACAGUUCAAAGCUGUCAUUCCCAUUUGUCAUAAUAAUAUUUGUUUUCUUCCUAUAACCAUCAUUUUAGCCUCAAAAACCUGUUGAAAUAAAUGAUUUUUGUUGGGUGUGGGGGGUGGGGGGUAGGAGAGCUUUUCCCCUCUAUAUCCAAGAGGUUUGGAAAGCUGCAGCCCUGUGCCCCCCCCCCCUUCCUCCUCCCUUUUUUAUUUUAUUUCUUUAGCUUCUUUUCCUAUCUGGGGAGGUUUUUUUUGGUUUUUCACUGAAAUAAAGAGCUUCUUAUAAGGGUCGGCAAACGUGACUUUGAACUUGGAUCAGUUCCUGCGUUUCCUGCGGUGCGGGUUGAAAUAGACUUGGGGAAAAAAGAAGGGGCACUAAGGCUGUCCCAGUCUGAGCCUGGAGACACACAAUUAAAAAAAGAGAAAAAAAAGAUUUUUCUUCUCUUAAAAAAAACCUUUCCUCCAUGUCACCGUUAUUGUGUCGCCUAAUGCGCAUGGGAGAGCUGGCGCAGGCAGACGGAACGGAAAGGUGCGGAAUUUAACGCAGUGCAAAUGCUUGUCUGUGGGUGUAGCCAUGAAGGAGAGCUGAUACUUACACCUCUGGCUCGGCAUGAUCUCAAGGAUGCACCAGGCAACCUUGAGGAGGAAGGUGUUUUGAAAGCAAAAGGGGGCACGACAUCUAAGGAUAGGAAGCCACUUAAUUAUUGAAAAGGUGGAGACAUGCUGCAGGGGGGUUUACUGGCAAGAAGACAGCUAAGAAGCUGCUUCUGGGGCUGAGGAGGCUUCAGCCCAGCGCCUCCGAGCUCCCAUUGCCUAAGGGUCCCCUGGGAUGCAGCUGACUGGCACCCUGACUGCCAACCAGAUGAUGGAUCCUACCAGGAGAAUUAGACAUGACAGGGGGAGCUUGAUCUUGUGAUACCAGCUGGAUAAAAGCUUCAUUCUUGCCCCGCGGCGUCCCGCUGUGCCAUUGCCUCAACCAGACACUGUGAUGGUAAGUGACUGCUGUAAUUGUUCUACUUGUACCUCCUACUCUUCAGCCAUCCAACUGGCUCCUACCCCCUGGUUGUGCCACAUUUCCCACAUGGGCCAUCUUGGCAUGAACCCCAAUACAGGGUUGACGGCAUCAAACAGUUUGAUGCCGUCAGGUAAAGUCUCUUCUGAAAAGCGCUCACUGGCCUUUACAGUAAUUGUCCUCUUUUUAUGAAAUUAUUUAGUGCGAAUAAACAGAAUUUGAUUGUGAUUGCCGGCUCACAAUGAUUGCAAUUUAAUUUUGUGACGAUAAAACAUUUAAAUGCUCCCUUUAUUCCCAUUCCGUCCCGGAUUUUUCCUUUGAGAUAAUUCAGUUUGACCUAUUUCUAUUAAAUCAAGCUUUGGAAAAAUAUGAGAUUUGAUGUGAAAAAUCCGAAUGAAUCAACCCCAUCAUCGUUUUUUUUCCCCCUUUUUUCUAAAACUGUAUUUUCUCCAUCGUCAUCUCGGAGAGAUUAUGCAUGCUCUUAGAUACGCCAGUUGCCUCAUUUAGCACCCCACAAACCAGCACCCCCCUUCAACCCCACUGUGCCCACAGACACAUGCACGCAUGCACAUGAGAGCAAAUGGAGGAGAGGAGGGAAACACGCAGAGAGGAUUGCUUACUGUACUGUACAUCAAAUAUUAAUCUGUUUACUAUAGAAAAUAGACUUAUCUUUGCCCAAUCUGUUUGAAGUGACAGGAUCGGCCCUUGUCGUGUAAUGGGGACUCUUUACUGUAAAUGAAUGACUCCAGCUACUCACUUGAGUCUCUUUUUCAUUCAGUCUCAGUGGAAAGGCGUCUGCUUUAAUUAGGAUCGACUCUGAUUUUUUUAAAUUUUUUUUUGCUUUUGGGUUUUUGUGCUGAAAGCCUGUAUUGGACUCUGUCGGUUUGCUUUUGUAAGGCAUGUCAUAGAGCGAAGAGAGGAGGAGCAGGGGAGCAAAACCCAGAAGAAUUGUGAAGAGGAGCAAGCUGUGUCUGAAAGAAAAAGGGGCUUAAAGAAGACGUAAAAAAAAUAUACAAUCCACACAUUAUCAUAUACUUUUAGCUACAGGCAGCCAACAAACACAAAGGCGCUUGAACACGCUUUAAAACAUGCGCGUGCAGAAUACACUUCAAGCUCAACACUAUUGGGUUUUUUUCCUUCUAGCUUAAGCAAGUCAGUCAUUCAAAGGAAAACCUCUAGCAUUUUCCUGUUAUUUUUUUUUAAAGAUCCUUUGCAGGUAAAUGAAUAAAUGAAUAAACAAAGCACCAGGUGAACAUUUAUAUGCACAAAAAAGUGAAAGAGCAGGGAGCCAGGCCAGCAUCUCAGCCAGAGGUAUGUUGCCAUCUUCUGGUUCUGACGCCAAACUUCAAGGACAGAGAUGCAUUUUUCGGCUGACCCUCUUUAGAUCUCAAUUUUUAUACAUUAGGUGUUCAGAAUACACAAGCAAGAAGGUUUUUUUUCUGUCUUCCAUUCAAACUUUUAAUUAGAAAUUAAAUAUAAGUACAUUACGUAAAGAAAUCUUUUGGGGAAGUCACCUUUAACCCUUAUAAACACAAUACAAGGGUUAAUAUAAUAUAUUGAAGCUUUCACUUUGGCAUAUACACUCUGAUGAAUGAUGUCAAAAGUGACUUUUCCAGACUUUAGAGCGUGCCUUGUUCAUCUCAUUUGCAUGUACCAUCAUCCACAUAUGCCCUCCUUUUUCUCCACUGCCCCGAAUGUGAUCUGUGCAGUUGCAGGGUGUUAAUUGGCUUGGCCCUGCAGUGUGUACGUGCACAUGUGUGUGUCAGUGUCUCAGCACGAAUGUUUGUGUAUGUAUAUGUCAGCAUGUUGACAGCGUGAGCAGUGUCGGAGUCUCUCACGGAGGCUCCAGCACAUGUGGCUCUCUUCCAGUCUGCGCGGCUCUUUCCUCUGGUCCUAACAUGUGCUCUGUGCCUCCCUGUCCCUGCCCAGCCCUGCUGGGCUCUGUUAGGCCCUGUCUGCAGUGGACCAGUCUGUUCCUGCUGCUAAAAUGUGAAAAUCGCUGAAGUCCCAGCAUUUCAGUAGAAAUACUUGUCAUCUAAUCCAAAGGUUUUUCAAAAAUUGUGUCAAUUUCGACCAAAAUUUCAAAAAAGGUACCUUUGUUUUACACUCAUUUCCUUUUUAGUCACAAAAAUGCUAAAAAAUAAAAAGACAUAUUUUUGUGUUGGCAAUUGGAGUUUAAAUCUUCACAAAUAUUUUCUGAAUAUUCAUCUGUUUUAUGAGAUUUUCUCACAAACUCUUGUGGCCUUUUCUUUCAUCCUAUUAUUCCACUCCCGGGACUGACUUUGCAGCAUUUCCCUGCUCCGUUUUAUUAAUCUAAAAUCGCAUUUUUCUAAGUUGUUUCUUCCAAAAGGUCAAGUGGGUGUUAGAUGGAUCUGCCACAACGGUCAGCAACAUUAAAAACUUUAUUUCCUUCUCUGUUAAAAAGCACGUUUGUGUCUUUUCUCAAGCUGUCUUGUCAGUGAUCUCUUUUUUUUUUUUUUGUAUGUGGUCUUCGUGUGGUGCUGAAUGAGCGGGGAGCCAAACAGACAUGCCCCAGAAAAUGCCAGAGAGUGACCGACACAGCAGCCAAAAGACACACUAACUCACACAUUGCUGCCUCUGUUUCUUCUUCUUCUUCUUUUUUUAACUUGAUUUGUCCUCACUAUUCCUCCUUGCUCCUUUUUGCCUGCGGCAAGACAGCUGUGUCCGUCAGGGCUUGAUGCCUGUGACAUGGGUCACACGCUAAGAGCCCACCUGAUCAUGACAGCAGAGAAACUCAUCUGGUUGUUUGUAAAGGAAAGAUACUUUUCUUACACUGCUAUUAUUUUUAUUUAGUUAUUUCUGAAAAGCAAAUUGUCUUCUGCUCCAAAAAGAGGCAUACACAAUUAAAUGAAGUAACCAUCAAGUUAAGAAACAACAAUAGAUUAAAUUGUUUAUGUAACAUUUUUUUUUUAAUUAUAAUGUUGUUACUAUUAAAGCAAUUAGUUUAACACAUAGCAAAGGGAGAAAUUUUAAGUUGUUAGGAUUUGCACAUUUUAAGGUUUCUGAGUAUUUAAACAGCAAGGUAGUUAACUUUCUUGGUACAAGUUUUGAUUUUUUGGAAAAGCAAAAAAUGUUUAUAAGUUCAAAAUGUUAACAAAAUAAAAUCUGCUUGUCUUUAUUUUGAGGAAAUGUUUUUUUCUCUGAAUAAUGUAACUUUGAUUUGUAUCUUUAAAAUUACCUGAAAACUGUUUAGUUAAAGGUAAAAACAGUUAUGAAUAAUUGUAUUCUGUUAAAAAUAAGUUUCAAAGACUAAAAUAACACAGAUUUGUACAAAAUAAAAUGUAUACAAACACAUUACUUUGAAAAAUGUCAGUUAAUUCAUUUUAGCAAAUGCUGUUUACAUUUGUAUUGAAAUGUAUUGAUUUACUGUAACAUAUUAUAGCACAAGAUUUAUGUCCUCUGAAAUGACAGUAAAAAACAAAUGCUUUUUAAAA